UACGUAGGGUGCAAGCGUUGUCCGGAAUUAUUGGGCGUAAAGAGCUCGUAGGCGGUUUGUCGCGUCGAAUGUGAAAACCCGGGGCUCAACUCCGGGCCUGCAUUCGAUACGGGCAGACUAGAGUUCGGUAGAGGAGACUGGAAUUCCUGGUGUAGCGGUGAAAUGCGCAGAUAUCAGGAGGAACACCGGUGGCGAAGGCGGGUCUCUGGGCCGAUACUGACGCUGAGGAGCGAAAGCGUGGGGAGCGAACAGG
This 253-nucleotide ribosomal RNA is filed under the name uncultured bacterium. RNAcentral describes it as "partial 16S ribosomal RNA". It matches the Rfam family "Bacterial small subunit ribosomal RNA", at positions 524 to 776 of the family's 1533-position model. The record is from RNAcentral.